UACGGAGGGUGCAAGCGUUGUCCGGAUUUAUUGGGUUUAAAGGGUGCGUAGGCGGGCAGGUAAGUCCGUGGUGAAAUCUCUGAGCUUAACUCAGAAACUGCCAUGGAUACUAUUUGUCUUGAAUAUUGUGGAGGUAAGCGGAAUAUGUCAUGUAGCGGUGAAAUGCUUAGAUAUGACAUAGAACACCAAUUGCGAAGGCAGCUUACUACACAGUUAUUGACGCUGAGGCACGAAAGCGUGGGGAUCAAACAGG
This 253-nucleotide ribosomal RNA is filed under the name uncultured bacterium. RNAcentral's name for it is "partial 16S ribosomal RNA". It matches the Rfam family "Bacterial small subunit ribosomal RNA", at positions 524 to 776 of the family's 1533-position model. The record is from RNAcentral.